Molecule: ribosomal RNA, 440 nt
Filed under: uncultured bacterium
Lineage: Bacteria
Description: partial 16S ribosomal RNA
Rfam family: Bacterial small subunit ribosomal RNA
Source: RNAcentral
CCUACGGGUGGCAGCAGUAGGGAAUAUUGCUCAAUGGGGGAAACCCUGAAGCAGCAACGCCGCGUGGAGGAUGAAGGUUUUCGGAUUGUAAACUCCUUUUGUUGGAGAAUAUAAUGACGGUAUCUAACGAAUAAGCACCGUCUAACUCCGUGCCAGCACCCGCGGUAAUACGGGGGGUGCAAGCGUUACUCGGAAACAAUGGGCGUAAAGAGCGUGUAGGCGGGAUAGCAAGUCAGAUGUGAAAUCCUAUGGCUUAACCAUAGCACUGCAUUUGAAACUGUUAUUCUAGAGUAUGGGAGAGGUAGGCGGAAUUCGUGGUGUAGGGGUAAAAUGCGUAGAGAUCAAGAGGAAUACUGAUUGCGAAGGCGACCUGCUAGAACAUAACUGACGCUGAUGCGCGAAAGCGUGGGGAGCAAACAGGAUUAGAUACCCUUGUAGUC